AGAACGAACGCUGGCGGCGUGCUUAACACAUGCAAGUCGAACGCGAAAGUACCGCUUCGGUGGUACAAGUAGAGUGGCGCACGGGUGAGUAACGCGUAGGUAAUCUACCCUUAUAUUUGGGAUAACAUACCGAAAGGUCUGCUAAUACCGGAUACGCUUAAGAAUACGCGAGUAUUUUUUAAGGAAAGGUAACCACUGAUAUAAGUUAUCGUAUAAGGAUGAGCCUGCGUACCAUUAGCUGGUUGGUGGGGUAACGGCCUACCAAGGCAACGAUGGUUAGCGGGUCUGAGAGGAUGAUCCGCCACACUGGAACUGGAACACGGACCAGACUCCUACGGGAGGCAGCAGUGAGGAAUAUUGCGCAAUGGGGAAACCCUGACGCAGCGACGCCGCGUGGGUGAUGAAGGCUUUCGGGUCGUAAAGCCCUGUCAAGUGGGAAGAAGUGCAUAUAGGUAAAUAGCCUGUAUGUUUGACGGUACCACUAGAGGAAGCACCGGCUAACUCCGUGCCAGCAGCCGCGGUAAUACGGAGGGUGCGAGCGUUGUUCGGAAUUACUGGGCGUAAAGGGCGCGUAGGCGGCUAUGUAAGUCGGAUGUGAAAGCCCACGGCUCAACCGUGGAAGAGCAUCUGAAACUGUAUGGCUUGAGUAUGGGAGGGGAAAGUGGAAUUCCCGGUGUAGAGGUGAAAUUCGUAGAGAUCGGGAGGAACACCUGUGGCGAAAGGCGAC
Molecule: ribosomal RNA, 727 nt
Filed under: uncultured bacterium
Lineage: Bacteria
Description: bacterial SSU rRNA
Rfam family: Bacterial small subunit ribosomal RNA
Source: RNAcentral